RNAcentral lists this ribosomal RNA (497 nucleotides) under uncultured bacterium. RNAcentral describes it as "partial 16S ribosomal RNA". It matches the Rfam family "Bacterial small subunit ribosomal RNA", at positions 28 to 507 of the family's 1533-position model. The record is from RNAcentral.
GAUGAACGCUGGCGGCGUGCCUAAUACAUGCAAGUCGAGCGAACGGACGAGAAGCUUGCUUUUCUGAUGUUAGCGGCGGACGGGUGAGUAACACGUGGAUAACCUACCUAUAAGACUGGGAUAACUUCGGGAAACCGGAGCUAAUACCGGAUAAUAUUUUGAACCGCAUGGUUCAAAAGUGAAAGACGGUCUUGCUGUCACUUAUAGAUGGAUCCGCGCUGCAUUAGCUAGUUGGUAAGGUAACGGCUUACCAAGGCAACGACGCAUAGCCGACCUGAGAGGGUGAUCGGCCACACUGGAACUGAGACACGGUCCAGACUCCUACGGGAGGCAGCAGUAGGGAAUCUUCCGCAAUGGGCGAAAGCCUGACGGAGCAACGCUGCGUGAGUGAUGAAGGUCUUCGGAUCGUAAAACUCUGUUAUUAGGGAAGAACAUAUGUGUAAGUAACUGUGCACAUCUUGACGGUACCUAAUCAGAAAGCCACGGCUAACUACGUG